RNAcentral lists this ribosomal RNA (254 nucleotides) under uncultured bacterium. Its description in RNAcentral is "partial 16S ribosomal RNA". It matches the Rfam family "Bacterial small subunit ribosomal RNA", at positions 524 to 776 of the family's 1533-position model. The record is from RNAcentral.
UACGUAGGGGGCAAGCGUUGUCCGGAUUUAUUGGGCGUAAAGAGCGUGUAGGCGGUUUGGUAGGUCCGCUGUGAAAACUCGAGGCUCAACCUCGAGACGCCGGUGGAAACCAUCAGGCUAGAGUCCGGAAGAGGAGAGUGGAAUUCCUGGUGUAGCGGUGAAAUGCGCAGAUAUCAGGAAGAACACCCGUGGCUAAGGCGGCUCUCUAGUACGGUACUGGACGCUGAGACGCGAAAGCGUGGGGAGCGAACAGG